Molecule: ribosomal RNA, 379 nt
Filed under: uncultured Alphaproteobacteria bacterium
Lineage: Bacteria; Pseudomonadati; Pseudomonadota; Alphaproteobacteria
Description: bacterial SSU rRNA
Rfam family: Bacterial small subunit ribosomal RNA
Source: RNAcentral
GAGUUUGAUCGUGGCUCAGAACGAACGCUGGCGGCAGGCCUAACACAUGCAAGUCGAACGCCCUCUUUCGGGAGGGAGUGGCGCACGGGUGAGUAACGCGUGGGAAUCUGCCCUUUGGUUCGGAAUAACCCUGGGAAACUAGGGCUAACGCCGGAUAAGCCCGAGAGGGGAAAGUUUACGCCGAAGGAGGAGCCCGCGUCCGAUUAGCUAGUUGGUGAGGUAAGAGCUUACCAAGGCGACGAUCGGUAGCUGGUCUGAGAGGACGAUCAGCCACACUGGGACUGAGACACGGCCCAGACUCCUACGGGAGGCAGCAGUGGGGAAUAUUGGACAAUGGGCGCAAGCCUGAUCCAGCCAUGCCGCGUGAGUGAUGAAGGCC